UACAGAGGGUGCAAGCGUUAAUCGGAAUUACUGGGCGUAAAGCGUGCGCAGGCGGUUAUGUAAGACAGUUGUGAAAUCCCCGGGCUCAACCUGGGAACUGCAUCUGUGACUGCAUAGCUAGAGUACGGUAGAGGGGGAUGGAAUUCCGCGUGUAGCAGUGAAAUGCGUAGAUAUGCGGAGGAACACCGAUGGCGAAGGCAAUCCCCUGGGCCUGUACUGACGCUCAUGCACGAAAGCGUGGGGAGCAAACAGG
This 253-nucleotide ribosomal RNA is filed under the name uncultured bacterium. RNAcentral's name for it is "partial 16S ribosomal RNA". It matches the Rfam family "Bacterial small subunit ribosomal RNA", at positions 524 to 776 of the family's 1533-position model. The record is from RNAcentral.